UACGUAGGGAGCGAGCGUUGUCCGGAUUCAUUGGGCGUAAAGAGCUCGUAGGCGGCUUGGCAAGUCGGGUGUGAAAACUCCAGGCUCAACCUGGAGACGCCACCUGAUACUGCCAUGGCUAGAGUCCGGUAGGGGACCACGGAAUUCCUGGUGUAGCGGUGAAAUGCGUAGAUAUCAGGAGGAACACCUGUGGCGAAAGCGGCUCACUGGACCAUAACUGACGCUGAUGCACGAAAGCUAGGGGAGCAAACAGG
This 254-nucleotide ribosomal RNA is filed under the name uncultured bacterium. Its description in RNAcentral is "partial 16S ribosomal RNA". It matches the Rfam family "Bacterial small subunit ribosomal RNA", at positions 524 to 776 of the family's 1533-position model. The record is from RNAcentral.